RNAcentral lists this long non-coding RNA (291 nucleotides) under Mytilus galloprovincialis (Mediterranean mussel). Lineage: Eukaryota; Metazoa; Mollusca; Bivalvia; Mytilida; Mytilidae. The record is from RNAcentral.
AAAUAUGUUUGACACAUGCGCACGAACUUACCGUUUAUAUUAACGUUAUUUCAAUCGUUAUCCAUUAAAAUAUAUACAUUUAAGCAGCUAACAUAAACUUUUAUUGUAUAUUUUCAUAAAACAACAUAUAUUUUCCCUGCACGUAGUUUUUAAACUUAUCAAAUUUGAAACGUAAUGUACAGACUCCUCGGGGAGGAAACGGGAAUAGCCAAAGAUUUUUACGGUAUUUUCGUACGCUUCAACCUAUAAAAAUACAGUAUUUGUACUAUUAGAAUCGAAAUAAUUCCUUCA